This 254-nucleotide ribosomal RNA is filed under the name uncultured bacterium. Its description in RNAcentral is "partial 16S ribosomal RNA". It matches the Rfam family "Bacterial small subunit ribosomal RNA", at positions 524 to 776 of the family's 1533-position model. The record is from RNAcentral.
UACAGAGGGUGCGAGCGUUAUCCGGAAUCAUUGGGCGUAAAGCGUAUGUAGGCGGAUUUGUAAGUCGGGGGUAAAAUCUCUCCGCUCAACGGAGAAUUUGUUUCCGAAACUACAUUUCUUUGAAGCAUGCAGAGGUAGGUGGAAUUCUGAGUGUAGGGGUAAAAUCCGUAGAUACUCGGAGGAACGCCGAAAGCGAAAGCAGCCUACUGGGCAUGUCUUGACGCUGAGAUACGAAAGCGUGGGGAGCAAACAGG